UCCUCUCCCAUAGCACUGGUCACACCCAUUCCCCCCAUGCUGGGUCCUGGUGGGUGUUCAGAGCCAAUUUUCAACCAAGGGCACAGUUGGGCUGUUUAGAUUAGUUACAAGAGUCCCCGCCAACCGUGGGGGUGGUGACCCCGAGGCCUUCUGUCUGCAGGACCCAGGGAGGUCUCAAAAUGUGAGUGUGUGUAACUCUGCCCCCACCCCCUCCAGGCAGCCGUGGGCUCUGCACUGCCUGGAGGAUGGAGGGCUCGACACAUAGCCUCAGAGCAGGGUUCUCUGAAAGCCUGGAACUCACUGGAGACCCGAAUCUACCUGGCCCAGGUCUCAGGCUAUGUUUGCCAGGGUGACUCUCAGAGAGCCAUGUCUUCUCAGCAAAAUAGAGGCACAGGUAGGCCUGAACCAGCACACCGGGUGGGACUGAAAGGGACAAGGUGUUAUCUAGCUUCUCAUAUUUCCUGUGACUCUACCUUUGGGCCUAUAGGUCUCAGUUCCAAGCCCCAAAGAUAGAGGAGGAUGAGGUCACAGUGCACCAGCAACAUAAUAUUUGUGAGCAGGCAGAAGACCCCAGAGUGGCCACCCAGGGUUAGAAGAGGCCCCUGGAGCUGCCCCCCAAAGCUGCCCUACUCACAGCUGCCCACAUUAGCCCUGAGGAAGACCUGCUUCCUAGAAGGUUCUGCUGCUGGGCUGUUGUAUAUUCUCCCUCAGACCCAGGUCAGCUAGGAGUACAUCAAUAUCCUUCUUGCCUUCCUUCCCCAGCUGGAGCUGGGGGUGACUUUCAAGGGAGGGCUCGAUCAAGGACAUUACAUGUGAGAGCGGCAAUGGCAGUCAGACGGUCCCACGUGGAGGCGCGCUAGCGGCUAUCUGGGUUGGCUGAAAGGACACAGACUCCCACGCGCAAUGUUGAAGUGUGAAACCUGCCUGAAGGCUGGGAGCCCCAAGUAGGUGUCCCACAGCUGAGCUCUGAGAAAAGGAACCUCCAGGUACCGAUCCCCUCUUCUGCCUCUUCCAGCUCCUAAGAGCAGCCUGCCCUCCUCGGCCCAUGGACUCAAUCUCUACCUUCAGAGCCAGCAGCGCUGUGACAUCUUCCUGCGCAACUGACGUCUGAUCACUUCCUUCACUCAAGGGCCUCUGUGAACCGUCUAAGACCGUCUCUUGAUUUUAGAUUUAUAACCUGUUCCCUCUCUAGAAGUCUCUUUGCCAUGUAGAAGAAUUGCAAGCACAGGUUUUAGGGUGGCCAGGUGGGUGUCGUGGGGUGCUCUGUCCUGCCAACAAUGGUGCUUUUGAAGAUAAUGGCCACCCACUCCUCAGGACAGCUGUUGGGAGGAGACGUGCAGGUCAGGUUCAUUCCAGAGGGGAUUGCAGAGUGACCGAGCCAGAUGCAGGGGACUCCCUGGCACUCUAGGGCUCCGCAGGUAGACAGUGCAGAGAGUAUGUGUAUAUGUAGCAGUAUUUGCAGCUCAGCCCACGAUUUAGGAUCCAGCAGACCAGGGUUCAGAUCCCAUCUCUGCUUCCUCUCAGGCCUCUGGCAGGGUGUAGAUGGAGGUGUGGGCGGGGCUGCUAUGGAGGAAGUCAGCAGAUGCUUCCGGUGACCUCAUUUCACCUGCACUGCAGCCUCUGUAGAAACAGCAGCUCAGAGAGGCCAAGUUCUCUUCUUGAGAUAGCACAGCAGCUGGGAGGGGCUGGGCUUUCCCAGGCCUUGGGAUUUCAAGCCAGGCUGUAGCUGCCCUGUACUCAUGCAUGGAAGGCCUCCUUCCCAUGUCCUUUAAAUCCAAUGACCACCUUUUAGUUUAAUGCAUCUGUUUUAAAAUGGAGCUUUAUAAGCUCCCACAGGUGGGAAAUAACAGAAUUCAUGGGCCGGCUAUAUAUAUUUUUAUAAGGCAUAUUAAAAUAAAUUUAUCACUAUAAAAGCAAAAA
Mesocricetus auratus (golden hamster) is the source of this 1920-nucleotide long non-coding RNA. RefSeq lists it as uncharacterized. The record is from RefSeq and is a predicted model, not a curated record. The transcript has 2 exons. Lineage: Eukaryota; Metazoa; Chordata; Mammalia; Rodentia; Cricetidae.